This 253-nucleotide ribosomal RNA is filed under the name uncultured bacterium. RNAcentral describes it as "partial 16S ribosomal RNA". It matches the Rfam family "Bacterial small subunit ribosomal RNA", at positions 524 to 776 of the family's 1533-position model. The record is from RNAcentral.
UACGGGGGGGGCAAGCGUUGUUCGGAAUUACUGGGCGUAAAGGGCGCGUAGGCGGGGGUUUAAGUUAGGUGUUUAAUCCCAGGGCCCAACCCUGGUCAGGCACCUAAAACUGGACAUCUUGAAUAGUGGAGAGGACGAUGGAAUUGGGGGUGUAGCGGUGGAAUGCGUAGAGAUCCCCAAGAACACCAGAUGCGAAGGCGGUCGUCUGGACACAUAUUGACGCUGAGGCUCGAAAGCGUGGGUAGCGAACAGG